This 266-nucleotide small nuclear RNA is filed under the name Camelus bactrianus (Bactrian camel). Its description in RNAcentral is "7SK RNA". It matches the Rfam family "7SK RNA". From Rfam's summary of the family: 7SK was discovered as an abundant small nuclear RNA in the mid-70s but a possible function has only recently been suggested. Two independent studies have found that 7SK RNA binds the CDK9/cyclin T complex (known as elongation factor P-TEFb). P-TEFb activates transcription by phosphorylating the C-terminal domain of RNA polymerase II. The record is from Rfam by way of RNAcentral. Lineage: Eukaryota; Metazoa; Chordata; Mammalia; Artiodactyla; Camelidae. RNAcentral also lists the same sequence under 1 other name.
GGAUGUGAGGGCAAUCUGGCUGCAGCACCUGUCACCCCAUCAGUCAUCAGGGUUGGUUCAUCUGGCCUGGCUGUCCAGAUGGGGUCUCCUUCCUCCCUCACGGCUCCACGUGCGUCCCUCCCCCAGCUGCACGCUUGGUCAAAGAGGAGGAGGGCUCUUGGGUCAAGUGUAUAUGAGUGGCUGUGGUCCCCAACUAGGACCUCCAAGCUUCCAAGACUCUAGGCAAAGCCAAGUGACAUGCUGCACAUGGCCAUCUGCCUUGCUUU